AAGAAUAUAAAAGACUGAACAAAAACAGUAGUAACAAGAGUGACAGGUUCAAAUUCUAAAUUAUAGCACCCAUGAAAUGUAUCUCAUGUGAAAAAUAGGCCACAAGUUAUUGUAGCUUAGAUACCAGUAACAACACACCAAAUAUAAUAGCUGACAUGCACAAAGCACAUGAAAUACUAUAUGAAACAGACCUACUUCCACAUAGAAAAAUAGAACCACAAAUGCCUUAAGCAACAGUUUCAACAACAGUAUCUGAAGGCUUGUUUUCAGGCUCAGCUGAAUCAACAAUUGCAGCUUCUGAAGGCUUGUUUUCAGGCUCAGCUGAGGCAACAGUUGCAGCUUCUGAAGGCUUGUUUUCUGAGGCAACAGGUGCACUUUCUAAAGGCUUGUUUUUAGAUUGUGGUGCUUCAUCCACCCAGAAUGCAGUCUUCUUCCCAGAUUUGG
This 444-nucleotide long non-coding RNA is filed under the name Glycine max (soybean). RNAcentral's name for it is "long non-coding RNA (GMAX_LNC000375)". Lineage: Eukaryota; Viridiplantae; Streptophyta; Magnoliopsida; Fabales; Fabaceae. The record is from RNAcentral.